RNAcentral lists this ribosomal RNA (377 nucleotides) under Amphiprion ocellaris (clown anemonefish). RNAcentral's name for it is "partial 16S rRNA". It matches the Rfam family "Bacterial large subunit ribosomal RNA", at positions 1950 to 2470 of the family's 2925-position model. The record is from RNAcentral. Lineage: Eukaryota; Metazoa; Chordata; Actinopteri; Pomacentridae.
GCGAAGGUAGCGCAAUCACUUGUCUUUUAAAUGAAGACCUGUAUGAAUGGCACGACGAGGGCUUAACUGUCUCCUUUUUCCAGUCAAUGAAAUUGAUCUUCCCGUGCAGAAGCGGGAAUAAUACCAUAAGACGAGAAGACCCUGUGGAGCUUCAGACACUAAAUCAGCCCUUGUCCAAAAUCCCAAUUAAAGGACUGAACACUAGAGUGAGACCUGAUAUAAUGUCUUCGGUUGGGGCGACCUCGGGGAAAGAAAAAACCCCCACGCGGAGCAGAAGUACCAUACUUCCAAAACUAAGAGCUACCGCUCAAAGUAUCAGAAAUUUUGACCAACUAUGUGAUCCGGCUUAACGCCGAUCAACGGACCGAGUUACCCCA